AGAGUUUGAUCCUGGCUCAGAUUGAACGCUGGCGGCAUGCCUUACACAUGCAAGUCGAACGGUAACAGGUUAAGCUGACGAGUGGCGAACGGGUGAGUAAUAUAUCGGAACGUGCCCAGUCGUGGGGGAUAACGUAGCGAAAGCUACGCUAAUACCGCAUACGAUCUACGGAUGAAAGCGGGGGAUCGCAAGACCUCGCGCGAUUGGAGCGGCCGAUAUCAGAUUAGCUAGUUGGUGGGGUAAAAGCUCACCAAGGCGACGAUCUGUAGCUGGUCUGAGAGGACGACCAGCCACACUGGAACUGAGACACGGUCCAGACUCCUACGGGAGGCAGCAGUGGGGAAUUUUGGACAAUGGGCGCAAGCCUGAUCCAGCAAUGCCGCGUGCAGGAUGAAGGCCUUCGGGUUGUAAACUGCUUUUGUACGGAACGAAACGGCGAGCUCUAAUAAAGCUCGCUAAUGACGGUACCGUAAGAAUAAGCACCGGCUAACUACGUGCCAGCAGCCGCGGUAAUACGUAGGGUGCAAGCGUUAAUCGGAAUUACUGGGCGUAAAGCGUGCGCAGGCGGCGAUGUAAGACAGAUGUGAAAUCCCCGGGCUCAACCUGGGACCUGCAUUUGUGACUGCAUCGCUAGAGUACGGUAGAGGGGGAUGGAAUUCCGCGUGUAGCAGUGAAAUGCGUAGAUAUGCGGAGGAACACCGAUGGCGAAGGCAAUCCCCUGGACCUGUACUGACGCUCAUGCACGAAAGCGUGGGGAGCAAACAGGAUUAGAUACCCUGGUAGUCCACGCCCUAAACGAU
RNAcentral lists this ribosomal RNA (800 nucleotides) under uncultured bacterium. RNAcentral's name for it is "bacterial SSU rRNA". It matches the Rfam family "Bacterial small subunit ribosomal RNA", at positions 8 to 810 of the family's 1533-position model. The record is from RNAcentral.